AGAACCUCAAACCAAUCCACUGACGCCAUGAUUUACCUUGCCUCGAGGCCAACUGUUGCUUACGCUAUCUCGAAAUAGAUUACUGAGAACCCUCGAGGGCAGAGCUCCAAGCUAAGUUUCGAGCCUUUGGAAGGCAGUUUCUUCGAGGCACCUUGAUGAAUGUAAAAUCGAACCGUUGAAUUUUGACAUACACAGUUGUACUUUUUGUUUUCUUAAAGAUCAAUCUUUAUUAUCCGAAACUGUUUUCUAUGAUUUUUAUUUAUGAUAUUAAAUUAUUUUAGCUAGAUUCGGGCCAUCUGGAGAUUGUUUCACAUGAGAAGAUUAUUUUAGAGUAUUGAUUUAGCUUCUUUGAUGUAAGUAUCUUGCCUUACUUUGCAUAGGGGAACUACUGUCGCACCCCUUUUUCC
This 407-nucleotide long non-coding RNA is filed under the name Nicotiana benthamiana. RNAcentral describes it as "long non-coding RNA (NBEN_LNC006830)". Lineage: Eukaryota; Viridiplantae; Streptophyta; Magnoliopsida; Solanales; Solanaceae. The record is from RNAcentral.